AGGGUUUGAUCAUGGCUCAGGAUGAACGCUGGCGGCAUGCCUAACACAUGCAAGUCGAACGAAGUUACCGGAGCAGCGGACUUAGGUUCAACGCACCGACUAACUUAGUGGCGGAUGGGUGAGUAACACGUGAGCAACCAACCUUUUACUCGGGAAUAACAUGGGGAAACCCAUGCUAAUACCUGAUAUUAUCAAGAAAUGGCAUCAUAAUUUGAUGAAAGAUUUAUCGGUAAAAGACGGGCUCGCGUCCGAUUAGCUAGUUGGUAAGGUAAUGGCUUACCAAGGCCACGAUCGGUAGCCGGACUGAGAGGUCGACCGGCCACAUUGGGACUGAGAACGGCCCAGACUCCUACGGGAGGCAGCAGUGGGGAAUAUUGGGCAAUGGACGCAAGUCUGACCCAGCGAUGCCGCGUGAAGGAUGGAAGGCCCUCGGGUUGUAAACUUCUUUAGACAGGGAANAAAGAAAUGACAUUACCUGUAGAAUAAGCCACGGCUAACUACGUGCCAGCAGCCGCGGUAAUUC
This 523-nucleotide ribosomal RNA is filed under the name uncultured Clostridiaceae bacterium. RNAcentral describes it as "bacterial SSU rRNA". It matches the Rfam family "Bacterial small subunit ribosomal RNA", at positions 8 to 526 of the family's 1533-position model. The record is from RNAcentral. Lineage: Bacteria; Bacillati; Bacillota; Clostridia; Eubacteriales; Clostridiaceae.